RNAcentral lists this small nucleolar RNA (131 nucleotides) under Echinops telfairi (small Madagascar hedgehog). The record is from RNAcentral. Lineage: Eukaryota; Metazoa; Chordata; Mammalia; Afrosoricida; Tenrecidae.
UUGCGAACUCAGUCACUAGCUCUGUAUGAUGUUACGGAAAGAAGGGGGAACCAGGUUUGCUAAAGUAAUUGUGAUAGAUAUGAUUUUACCUCAGGAGCUGCUGAGGUGGCCUGUUCAAUUCUAAUAUGGUA